CCUUUCUAAGGAUGAUCAAGAAUUGGAAGCCUUCAUAAAGUGAAAGCAUUCCUUUUUGAUCUAAUUAGACAUAAGGGUUUAAAUCAGUCAGUUUAAACAACCAGACACUUUAAACCUUGUGCAUAUGAACACGCACUUUAAAAAUAACGGUUCUUUCUUUCAAAGAGGCCCCUACCUUUCAUGAAAGAGAGCCACUUUCAAGGUGCCGUGCUCAUGUGUUAAGAUAUAUAAGCAGACUAGCCGUCUUCGUUUCUCUUUCUUCAGAUGAUGAUCCCAAGCCUUCUGGCGAUCUACAAAAAACAAGCCUUUUUUUAGGCUUUCAGAAAACACUUUUGUUUUUAUAAAAUACUGUGUUUUUAUGAGAUUAUGCCGGGGAAGGUUUUCCGGUUUAUCCCGGAGGGCUUGUAGCUCAGUUGGUUAGAGCGCGCGCUUGAUAAGCGUGAGGUCGGAGGUUCAAGUCCUCCCAGGCCCACCAAUUACUCCAUUCAUUUUCUUUAUCUGUUCCUUUGAUUGUAUGUGCAGAUAACAGUUUUAUAAAAGGAUUAUAGCGCUUAUCUCUUUCGCUUAAACACUCCAAACUUCAUGUGGUGAAAACGUAAAGCGAUGCAAAUUUGCUAGAAAUUUUGCACUGUCUCUUUCAUAACAGUUUGGAAUCCUUUAUCCUGUUUUAGGGGCCGUAGCUCAGCUGGGAGAGCACCUGCUUUGCAAGCAGGGGGUCGUCGGUUCGAUCCCGUCCGGCUCCACCAUUCUAGAUCAUCAUCAUUGUUGUGAGAACAGUCUUUGUAAAAGGUUGAAUGACCUUUUGCUUGUUCUAUUGAAAUUGUGAAGAGAAGAUAUAUUCAGACAUGUUCCUUUUUUUAGGUUGUUUCUGUAGGACAAGUUUUUUGCUGAGAAAAAUGCUUUCUUGGCAAAAUGCUUGUUGUCAAAAAAGGUUUUUGCCAACAGAUCUUGAAAGCGAAAGCCUUAGCUAAAGGGGAGAUCUUAAUAUAAAAAAGAAACAGUGUGUCGCAAGGGAAUGCUCAAAGCCCUUGCUUAUGAUUGGAAGCUUAACCGCGCCACUGAGUAUAUCUCGAGAAGCUGGUCUUUUCUGCUGAUAUUUUUGUUUAUUUUGCACAAGAUAAACAGUGAAUGAAUAUUGGCAAUGAGAACG
Molecule: transfer RNA, 1150 nt
Filed under: Candidatus Bartonella washoeensis
Lineage: Bacteria; Pseudomonadati; Pseudomonadota; Alphaproteobacteria; Hyphomicrobiales; Bartonellaceae
Description: Bartonella washoeensis miscellaneous RNA
Rfam family: tRNA (bases 399-472)
Source: RNAcentral